RNAcentral lists this small nucleolar RNA (130 nucleotides) under Carlito syrichta (Philippine tarsier). Its description in RNAcentral is "Small nucleolar RNA SNORA22 (ENSTSYG00000034991.1)". It matches the Rfam family "Small nucleolar RNA SNORA22". Rfam says of the family: ACA22 is a member of the H/ACA class of snoRNA that guide the sites of modification of uridines to pseudouridines. The record is from Rfam by way of RNAcentral. Lineage: Eukaryota; Metazoa; Chordata; Mammalia; Primates; Tarsiidae.
UUGCACAGUGAACACUCAAGUGUGUUUUAUAGUUCCCUUGGCUUUGACCCUGUGCUAUAGCAAUGCCUGUUCAUCUCUGCAUUGAAAGGAGUUUUUAUCCUUUUAAUGUAUUCAAAAAGCCAGUGCAUUA